CAAACAUGAAGGCCUGGAGUUGUGUGGUUAUCAUGGUACUGAUGUUCGUCUCUCUAGAGGCAACGGUUGAUGACUUCUGCAACAAGUCAUGCAAUUAUCAGUGUAACCACAGCGGAAUGGGAUAUAAAACUUGUUUCGGACCCUGUGUAAUCGACUGUCUCCGUUCUCACUGCUACGUUCCAUGCUACAAAAUCUGCAACAAGGGACAGAAAACCUUUAAUCCUCAUUGUGAUGCAACAUGUACACAUGAAUGUCACCUCCCGAUUUUUGAUCCGAUUCAUCCUUUUCCGCCGCCGCCCCCCAUCUUCCCUAGUGCAGAGAGAAGACAAUAGAAUGUUUUGAUGCUUUAAUAUCAAAAUACUUUCAGCACAAUUGUUACUUUGGUUAAUGUAUUAAAAGAACGACAUGUUCUGAACAAAUGACGAAAAUAAUUAUCAAUAAAGGAA
Molecule: long non-coding RNA, 446 nt
Filed under: Olea europaea subsp. europaea
Lineage: Eukaryota; Viridiplantae; Streptophyta; Magnoliopsida; Lamiales; Oleaceae
Source: RNAcentral